AAAUAUACAAGAGGUCACUUGCCUGCCACCUUUCAUCAUUACUUACCCACCAACAAGAGCUUUAAAAUGGUUCUGAAGAUAUGGGGAGAAAAUGAGUGAGAAACGACUAUAAAAUCUGGAAGCCAAGCUCCUUGAAAACAACUCAGGUGUCCACAUAGGGAAGUAAUUGGAGCCAGUUAGUGACUUAACAGCAAGAAACAACGGAAGAAAAUGAGAACACCAGCCAGAGCAAUGGAGAUGGGAAGAGAGGACUACGCGGUAUCCAGAAACAUCCUUCAGUCAAAAAAGCAACCCGAGUCAAGCCCUCAGAAAGGCUUCUCAUCCUCUGCCUUCAGUAGAUCCAGUGCCCAGAAAGAUGCCAAAGGGAAAGAUGACUUGGGGCCUUAA
Molecule: long non-coding RNA, 387 nt
Filed under: Oryctolagus cuniculus (rabbit)
Lineage: Eukaryota; Metazoa; Chordata; Mammalia; Lagomorpha; Leporidae
Description: lncRNA (ENSOCUG00000031921.1)
Source: RNAcentral